AAGGCUUUAAGUUAAUUAAACUAUUAUCCUUCAAAGUUAAAAAUAUAGUCCUGUUAUAAGUCUUA
RNAcentral lists this transfer RNA (65 nucleotides) under Tettigades limbata. Its description in RNAcentral is "tRNA-Trp". Lineage: Eukaryota; Metazoa; Arthropoda; Insecta; Hemiptera; Cicadidae. The record is from RNAcentral.